CUCAGACAUGGAAAUCAAUGUUUAUACAAGCAGCAUCCUGAAAUUGUAAAAGGUUUAGCCAUUGCAAAUAACACACGCUUUGGUAAGAUUGAAAGAGACUAGCAAAGUAAGAGAUGAUUUGAAUUAUUGAAAAUACAUUUGGGGAACAUUUUCGAUUUCUUUUUUAUAUACCGUUUUUGUUGAUAAAAUAUAUUGCUUCCCAUUCAUCUACUGAGAGAGACUUUCCUUAUAAGAAGAAAUACAAAAAACGAAGAGAAAAAAAGGUCAACAAAACUAUCACAUCAGCUAUGUCUGACAACAUAUGGAAGGUUUUAUAUCCAUAGUCCCCAACUUCUGCAAAAAAGUUGUCAGAGGACAAAGAUUGCACAUCCUUGAAGUUUGGUAUUUGAUGCAGAGCUAGUUCCCUGAAAUGCCCUGCCUCUUCAAAUGAAAUUUUGGAGACAGUCUUGGGAGCCAAUGGGAACGAGCGAGUAUUGUCCUGGGAGUCAGAAACUUUGGAUUCCAGCACCAGAGAUGAACCUGGGAGCAGAAGAGCUGAAAUGAUUUGCUUGAGAUCAAACACAGUGACAGGACCACAUUGGAAAUCAGCUUUCCCAACUCCUAAUCUUUUGGAGAAUUGUUUUGAGGAAUCAAGACGUUUUUGAUCCUGUGUGGAAACUUCUAGGCAGAGUCAGUGACAAAGGCUGCUAACCUCAGGAGUCGUAAUUGGCAACAACUUCACAACUGACAGUUGGUGACAGUCACUAAAAGGUUUUUUUUCUUAAUAAAUGGGGUUCUUUUAAAUCUGGGGUGCCA
This 795-nucleotide long non-coding RNA is filed under the name Monodelphis domestica (gray short-tailed opossum). RNAcentral describes it as "lncRNA (ENSMODG00000044478.1)". The record is from RNAcentral. Lineage: Eukaryota; Metazoa; Chordata; Mammalia; Didelphimorphia; Didelphidae.